This 441-nucleotide ribosomal RNA is filed under the name Drosophila emarginata. RNAcentral describes it as "partial 12S ribosomal RNA". Lineage: Eukaryota; Metazoa; Arthropoda; Insecta; Diptera; Drosophilidae. The record is from RNAcentral.
UAUUAUUUAAAAUGUAAGUAUAUUUAUUGAAGUAGUAAUAGUUAUGUUCUUGAAACUUAAAAAAUUUGGCGGUAUUUUAAUCUUUCCAGAGGAACCUGUUUUGUAAUCGAUAAUCCACGAUGGACCUUACUUAAUUUUGUAAUCAGUUUAUAUACCGUCGUUAUCAGAAUAUUUUAUAAGAAUAAUAAUAUUCAAUAAUUUUUAAAAAAAUAUAUAUCAGAUCAAGGUGUAGCUUAUGAUUAAGUAAUAAUGGGUUACAAUAAAUUUAUUUAAACGGAUAAAAUUAUGAAAAAAUUUUUGAAGGUGGAUUUGGUAGUAAAAUUAUAAAGAUAAAUAAUUUGAUUUUAGCUCUAAAAUAUGUACACAUCGCCCGUCGCUCUUAUUAAUAAGGUAAGAUAAGUCGUAACAUAGUAGAUGUACUGGAAAGUGUAUCUAGAAUGA